UUUUAAAAAGCUACGAUAAGACAGGGUAAAAAAUAGAAAUACCAAUUUUAAAAAAAAACACAUAACUGAAUCAGUGUAUCUUAAGAUAAAUAAUAUGGUGACGUUGCAAUUAAAUUCGUUUUCAAUCAUAUUGGUUUAUGGGUCAGCAGUAAGUUUCAGUAACUCUUUGUGAAUUAAAAAUGUUCUCAAUCGUUAGGUGAAAAAAAUUCUUAUUCGAUAGUCAAAUCCGGUGUUAUUGAUCAUUAUUCAUCUCUAAAUCUUUAUCGAUCUCCAAAAUAUUUGAAAACGUUUAAAACAACAAAUUUUGUUGAAAUCAAUUUGGUUUUCGAAAAAAAACAAAUCAACAGAAAAUACACCGAUUUUAGUUUGGAAUCUAGUUGUUUCUAGUAGGUAUAUUGACAAUAGUAAAAAGGAAAUUAGUAUAUUUUUAGAUUUAAAAAAAAUCUUUGGUCCUUCUAAUAAUAGUACGUAGUUUGAUUACAAAAUUAGAAUAUCGUGGCAUUCGUGGUAUUGCCCUACGUAUUUUGUUAUAUCAUAUAUUUCAAAUCGAUCGCAAGCAAAAUAAUUACAGAAACAAUUAUUUUUAUUAUUUUUUAGUUUAUUGGGAUGCUCUGUAUUUAUAAAAUGUACUUUGAUUCCAUAUUUAGCUCUUUCAUUAUUAUUGCAUAUUAUUGCAUAAUUGUAUUCGCUUCUUUAAAAGCUUAUAUAUGUUUAUAUGAAUAUUUUUUUUCUAAAUUAUUGUUGAACUCUCUCCCUCUCUCUAUAAAAGAAGCUUAACUGUUUAUAGAAAGAAUUGACGGAAACUCAAAAGUAACAAGUUAAGUUAAAAAGUUUAAGUAAAACUAUCUUUUAAGGUCUAUGUUAAUCAAGGGCAACGUAUAUUGUACUUCUUGUCGAUAGAUAUACGUAUGUACCUAAUACCUAUGCCGUACCAAAAUUGUUUACUGUAUUAUAUUACUCUCUAUUAAACCGAUAUUUCACACUACACAACACUACCAGGCCCUGAUUUACGCAUGUGCAGGCGGUGCACUAGCACAGGGCUCCCAAAUGUGAAGGGGGGCCCUUCCCAUUUAACACUUUGCUACUAUAAAUAAAAGAUAUUUUAAUAAGAUUUAGUAGCUAUAACCUAUUUAAGGAGGGCGCAGCUAUGCAGCUGCUGUAUAGAAAUAUUGUGUUAUUACUUAUCAUUCCAAAUAUUUCAUUUGUAUAAUGUGAAUAAUGUGAUUACCUAUUUACAGGCACGAAGUAAUUUCAAUUUAUUGUAGUAAUUUGUUAUUUAUAAUGUCAUCCAAAAGAAAAUUAUUCUUCUCGAUAUGAGAAAGUUAAAAAAACAAACGUGAGAAGAAAAAAAAAGUUGACCGGUUCACUAACAAAAUUUCUUUGCAGCUCUUCCUCUAGAACUGUGGUGCCCAAAAAUAAAACAGAAGAUUUUGAUGUAUCAAUCAAUAUCGACAUAUUUGACAGUAAUACCAAUGAUCCUGAAGCUGAAGCACUAAUAGAUUAUGCAAAUGACAAUAAAAAUACCUAUAUCAUAGAUGUUGACAUGUUGUCAAUAUUUAAAAUAUUAGUGAUCAACCUGAUGAGACUGGGGAUGACAAUAAUUCAAAUUAUGAAAAUAAAAAUAAAUUAGCAAAUUGUAAGUUCACUAUUACUCAUACAUACUAUACUUUAGUUAUAACCAAUUACCAUUAAAUGUUACCUAAUGAAUUUAUGUUCUUUGUCAUAUCUUAUUUGAUCCAUGUAUUGUGAUUAAUUAUUUUUACUCUAAGUGUUUUAAUGGUUUUGUUUUAUUUGUUAUUGUAUCUUAUGAAUGAUAUAAAUGUGCUUUAAAAAUGUAUAAUUAACCUAACACAAUUAUUCUAAUAUAAUAUUUGGUCAAAUGUUGUAUUGUAUUAAUUUAAAAACUCUUAAUAUAUUGUCAUGUUAUUUGCUUAUUUGAAGUUGUAUUAUUAUUGUUGUGUACUAAUAAAUUACCUUUUGUGUGUAAAAUGUAUUGACAUGUAUAAUAUGUCUUAAAUGUUCCAUUUAUUGAAAAAUACAAAUUCAGUAUAAAUUAUCAAUGCCGCGCACAAACUGUAGUAGUGAACGUUCAUUCUCUGUACUCAAAUAUAUAAAAAUCGAAUGAGCUCUACUUUAACACCAGAAAAACUGGACUCUUUAUCAUAACUGGCAAUCACCCAUGAUGUUACUAAACAGCACGGAUAUAGAUACUAUGGUUGCACGUCGGCCUAUAUUGGAUCACAGCGUUGAGCGGCGCCGAAUGUUCUUAUCAAAUCUGACGAAAAGUCGCGUUUUACUAGCGCCCUCUACAGUAAGAACUCUUAUACCAUGUUACCCUAACUUUACAAACAUAUUUAUAAUUUAUAUAAUCGCGGGUAUAUGAUAUACCAGGUCAUAGAGGGCGCUAGUAUCACGCGACUUUUUUUAAAUUCUUGAUAAGAACAUUCAGAGCCGUCAUAUCCGUGCUCGUUGUGCAACCAUAGUAUCUAUAUCCGUGCUAAACAGUUAACAUUUGAAGACGUAAUUGCUGACUUUGCAAAAAAAAAACAAGAAAAAAAUAUUUUGUUAAAAAGGCCCACAAAGUUUAUAGUGCACAGCGGCCCUAUUUCACUAAAUCAGUGCCUGGACACUACACAUAAUAUUAUAAUUAAUACAAUUACGUCAAAAUGACCUUGGAAAAUUGAAAACACUAUCAAGAUUACUGAUUUUAUGUUUUUUAUAAUACUUAACAAAUUAAAUUUUAACUCAUUUAAGGUUCUUGAUGGCCAUGCUGAUGAGGCGCAAUUAGGUGUAUUGUGUGUAAAAAGUUCUUCUUUGUUUUUACAUUAUUAUACAUUUACUUAUACAUUACGCACAUACUAUUAUCUUAUUUUUUGUUUAUAAUUUUCAAUCGCUUUUUAAACACUCACACAGUGUAGUAGAACAUGAGCUAUGACUGUAAAAUGGUUUAGGACUAAAUAAUAAUAUGAGUACACUAUACUCAGUUUAGGUACAAUUUUUUUAAAAUAAGCUAAAAUGAAUCUGUAACCGACCAGGAUACAAAAAACAGGAGGUCUGUAGAGGUACAAAUAGUUGUGUAAGUACAAGUUAAAAUACGAAUAAUAGAUUAAUAAUGGACUUCGGGCAC
Long non-coding RNA from Myzus persicae (green peach aphid), 3127 nucleotides. RefSeq lists it as uncharacterized. Lineage: Eukaryota; Metazoa; Arthropoda; Insecta; Hemiptera; Aphididae. The record is from RefSeq and is a predicted model, not a curated record. The transcript has 3 exons.